This 169-nucleotide unclassified non-coding RNA is filed under the name uncultured Hypomyces. RNAcentral describes it as "sequence contains ITS1". The record is from RNAcentral. Lineage: Eukaryota; Fungi; Ascomycota; Sordariomycetes; Hypocreales; Hypocreaceae.
CCGAGUUAUACAACUCCCAAACCCACUGUGAACCUUACCCAUCGUUGCUUCGGCGGGACCGCCCCGGGCCCCGCGCCCGGAACCAGGCGCCCGCCGGAGGCCCAAAAACUCUCAUGUUUCUCCUAGCGGAAUUCCUCUGAGUGGCCCUUAGCGGCAAGCAAAUGAAUCA